RNAcentral lists this ribosomal RNA (446 nucleotides) under uncultured bacterium. Its description in RNAcentral is "partial 16S ribosomal RNA". It matches the Rfam family "Bacterial small subunit ribosomal RNA", at positions 338 to 795 of the family's 1533-position model. The record is from RNAcentral.
CCUACGGGUGGCAGCAGUCGAGAAUCAUUCACAAUGGGGGAAACCCUGAUGGUGCGACGCCGCGUGGGGGAAUGAAGUUCUUCGGAUUGUAAACCCCUGUCAUGUGGGAGCAAAUUAAAAAGAUCGUACCACCAGAUGAAGAGACGGCUAACUCUGUGCCAGCAGCCGCGGUAAUACAGAGGUCUCAAGCGUUGUUCGGAAUCACUGGGCGGAAAGCGUGCGUAGGCUGUUUCGUAAGUCGUGUGUGAAAGGCGCGGGCUCAACCCGCGGACGGCACAUGAUACUGCGAGACUAGAGUAAAGGAGGGGGAACCGGAAUUCUCGGUGUAGCAAUGAAAUGCGUAGAUAUCGAGAGGAACACUCGUGGCGAAGGCGGGUUCCUGGACAGUAACUGACGCUGAGGCACGAAGGCCAGGGGAGCGAAAGGGAUUAGAUACCCCUGUAGUC